AAGCCUACCAAGGCUGUGAUCGGUAGCCGGCCUGAGAGGGCACACGGCCACACUGGCACUGAAACACGGGCCAGACUCCUACGGGAGGCAGCAGUGGGGAAUCUUGCACAAUGGGGGAAACCCUGAUGCAGCGACGCCGCGUGAGCGAUGAAGCCCUUCGGGGUGUAAAGCUCUUUCGGCAGGGAAGAUUAUGACGGUACCUGCAGAAGCAGCUGCGGCUAACUACGUGCCAGCAGCCGCGGUAAUACGUAGGCAGCAAGCGUUGUUCGGAGUUACUGGGCGUAAAGGGUGCGUAGGCGGCCGUAAAAGUAUGGUGUGAAAUCUCCCGGCUUAACUGGGAGGGUGCGCUAUAAACUGCAUGGCUAGAGUAUGGGAGAGGAAAGUGGAAUUCCUGGUGUAGCGGUGAAAUGCGUAGAUAUCAGGAGGAACACCGGUGGUGUAAACGGCUUUCUGGACCAUAACUGACGCUGAGGCACGAAAGCGUGGGUAGCAAACAGGAUUAGAUACCCUGGUAGUCCACGCCCUAAACGAUGCAUAUUUGGUGUGGGCCAUUCAUUUGGUCCGUGCCGGAGCUAACGCGUUAAAUAUGCCGCCUGGGGAGUACAGUCGCAAGGCUGAAACUCAAAGGAAUUGACGGGGGCCCGCACAAGCGGUGGAGCAUGUGGUUUAAUUCGACGCAACGCGAAGAACCUUACCUGGGCUCGAAAUGCUAUGGACCAGCUUAUGAAAGUAGGCCUUCCCGCAAGGGACCGUAGUAUAGGUGCUGCAUGGCUGUCGUCAGCUCGUGUCGUGAGAUGUUGGGUUAAGUCCCGCAACGAGCGCAACCCUUGUCCUGUGUUGCCAUACCGAAAGGUGGAACUCGCAGGAGACCGCCAGGGAUAACCUGGAGGAAGGUGGGGAUGACGUCAAGUCCUCAUGGCCUUUAUGUCCAGGGCUACACACGUGCUACAAUGGACGGUACAAAGGGCUGCCAACCCGCGAGGGGGAGCCAAUCCCAAAAAACCGUUCUCAGUUCGGAUUGCAGGCUGCAACUCGCCUGCAUGAAGCUGGAAUCGCUAGUAAUGGCGGAUCAGAACGCCGCCGUGAAUACGUUCCCGGGCCUUGUACACACCGCCCGUCACAUCACGAAAGUGGGUUGUACUAGGAGUCCGCACGCCAACCGCAAGGGGGCAGCGGCCCAAGGUAUGACUCAUGAUUGGGG
This 1201-nucleotide ribosomal RNA is filed under the name uncultured bacterium. RNAcentral's name for it is "bacterial SSU rRNA". It matches the Rfam family "Bacterial small subunit ribosomal RNA", at positions 261 to 1480 of the family's 1533-position model. The record is from RNAcentral.